AAUCCAUAGGUUAAUGAGGCGAACCGGGGGAACUGAAACAUCUAAGUACCCCGAGGAAAAGAAAUCAACCGAGAUUCCCCCAGUAGCGGCGAGCGAACGGGGAGGAGCCCAGAGCCUGAAUCAGCAUGUGUGUUAGUGGAAGCGUCUGGAAAGGCGCGCGAUACAGGGUGACAGCCCCGUACACAAAAGCGCAUGUGCUGUGAGCUCGAUGAGUAGGGCGGGACACGUGGUAUCCUGUCUGAAUAUGGGGGGACCAUCCUCCAAGGCUAAAUACUCCUGACUGACCGAUAGUGAACCAGUACCGUGAGGGAAAGGCGAAAAGAACCCCGGCGAGGGGAGUGAAAAAGAACCUGAAACCGUGUACGUACAAGCAGUGGGAGCACAGGUUUACCUGUGUGACUGCGUACCUUUUGUAUAAUGGGUCAGCGACUUAUAUUCUGUAGCAAGGUUAACCGUAUAGGGGAGCCGGAGGGAAACCGAGUCUUAACCGGGCGUUAAGUUGCAGGGUAUAGACCCGAAACCCGGUGAUCUAGCCAUGGGCAGGUUGAAGGUUGGGUAACACUAACUGGAGGACCGAACCGACUAAUGUUGAAAAAUUAGCGGAUGACCUGUGGCUGGGGGUGAAAGGCCAAUCAAACCGGGAGAUAGCUGGUUCUCCCCGAAAGCUAUUUAGGUAGCGCCUCGUGAAUUCAUCUCCGGGGGUAGAGCACUGUUUCGGCUAGGGGGCCAUCCCGGCUUACCAACCCGAUGCAAACUGCGAAUACCGGAGAAUGUUAUCACGGGAGACACACGGCGGGUGCUAACGUCCGUCGUGAAGAGGGAAACAACCCAGACCGCCAGCUAAGGUCCCAAAGUCAUGGUUAAGUGGGAAACGAUGUGGGAAGGCCCAGACAGCCAGGAUGUUGGCUUAGAAGCAGCCAUCAUUUAAAGAAAGCGUAAUAGCUCACUGGUCGAGUCGGCCUGCGCGGAAGAUGUAACGGGGCUAAACCAUGCACCGAAGCUGCGGCAGCGAACGUAUCACCCAAGACAACUUUACGGAGUUGACGAUUGACGGAGCGAAGCGACGUCAAAGCGUUCAUUAAAGUCGAGUUGGCUUAGGGAUACGUUCGUUGGGUAGGGGAGCGUUCUGUAAGCCUGUGAAGGUGGCCUGUGAGGGUUGCUGGAGGUAUCAGAAGUGCGAAUGCUGACAUAAGUAACGAUAAAGCGGGUGAAAAGCCCGCUCGCCGGAAGACCAAGGGUUCCUGUCCAACGUUAAUCGGGGCAGGGUGAGUCGACCCCUAAGGCGAGGCCGAAAGGCGUAGUCGAUGGGAAACGGGUUAAUAUUCCCGUACUUGGUGUUACUGCGAAGGGGGGACGGAGAAGGCUAUGUUGGCCGGGCGACGGUUGUCCCGGUUUAAGCGUGUAGGUGUGUGUUCCAGGUAAAUCCGGUUCACUU
This 1435-nucleotide ribosomal RNA is filed under the name Salmonella enterica subsp. enterica serovar Typhimurium. Its description in RNAcentral is "partial 23S ribosomal RNA". It matches the Rfam family "Bacterial large subunit ribosomal RNA", at positions 161 to 1552 of the family's 2925-position model. Lineage: Bacteria; Pseudomonadati; Pseudomonadota; Gammaproteobacteria; Enterobacterales; Enterobacteriaceae. The record is from RNAcentral.